Molecule: ribosomal RNA, 450 nt
Filed under: uncultured bacterium
Lineage: Bacteria
Description: bacterial SSU rRNA
Rfam family: Bacterial small subunit ribosomal RNA
Source: RNAcentral
GUGGGGAAUAUUGGACAAUGGGGGAAACCCUGAUCCAGCGACGCCGCGUGGGUGAAGAAGGCCUGCGGGUUGUAAAGCCCUUUCGGUAGGGACGAAAACUCUUGCUCUAACAGAGCAGGAGCUUGACUUAACCUACAUAAGAAGCACCGGCUAACUCUGUGCCAGCAGCCGCGGUAAUACAGAGGGUGCGAGCGUUAAUCGGAAUUACUGGGCGUAAAGCGCACGUAGGCGGCUUUGCAAGUCGGGUGUGAAAUCCCCGGGCUCAACCUGGGAACUGCAUCCGAGACUGCAUUGCUAGAGUAUGGGAGAGGGAAGUGGAAUUUCCGGUGUAGCGGUGAAAUGCGUAGAUAUCGGAAGGAACAUCAGUGGCGAAGGCGACUUCCUGGACCAAUACUGACGCUCAGGUGCGAAAGCGUGGGGAGCAAACAGGAUUAGAAACCCGGGUAGUCC